UCGUCAGCUCGUGUCGUGAGAUGUUGGGUUAAGUCCCGCAACGAGCGCAACCCUUGUCAUUAGUUGCCAUCAUUAAGUUGGGCACUCUAAUGAGACUGCAAAAUGACAAACCGGAGGAAGGUGGGGAUGACGUCAAGUCAUCAUGCCCCUUAUGACCUGGGCUACACACGUGCUACAAUGGACGGUACAACGAGAAGCGAACCUGCGAAGGCAAGCGGACCUCAUAAAGCCGUUCUCAGUUCGGACUGUAGGCUGCAACUCGCCUACACGAAGCUGGAAUCGCUAGUAAUCGCGGAUCAGCACGCCGCGGUGAAUACGUUCCCGGGCCUUGUACACACCGCCCGUCACACCAUGAGAGUCUGUAACACCCAAAGCCGGUGGGAUAACCUUUAUAGGAGUCAGCCGUCUAAGGCUCAUCUGACAAGAUGAUUAGGGUGAAGUCGUAACAAGGUAACCGUA
Molecule: ribosomal RNA, 459 nt
Filed under: uncultured bacterium
Lineage: Bacteria
Description: bacterial SSU rRNA
Rfam family: Bacterial small subunit ribosomal RNA
Source: RNAcentral